RNAcentral lists this transfer RNA (75 nucleotides) under Actinomycetes bacterium. RNAcentral describes it as "Actinobacteria bacterium tRNA-Asn". It matches the Rfam family "tRNA". From Rfam's summary of the family: Transfer RNA (tRNA) molecules are approximately 80 nucleotides in length. Lineage: Bacteria; Bacillati; Actinomycetota; Actinomycetes. The record is from RNAcentral.
UCCCGCGUAGCUCAACGGCAGAGCAUCCGACUGUUAAUCGGACGGUUCCAGGUUCGAAUCCCGGCGCGGGAGCCC